CCUUCGGGUGUGAAUUAGCGGCGAACGGGUGAGGAACACGUGAAGAAUCUGCCUUCAACUCUGGGAUAACUCCGGGAAACCGGGGCUAAUACCGGAUAUGAGCCUUGAUCGCAUGAUCGGGGCUGGAAAGUUUUUCGGUUGAAGAUGACUUCGCGGCCUAUCAGCUUGUUGGUGAGGUAAUGGCUCACCAAGGCGACGACGGGUAGCCGGCCUGAGAGGGCGACCGGCCACACUGGGACUGAGACACGGCCCAGACUCCUACGGGAGGCAGCAGUGGGGAAUAUUGGGCAAUGGAGGAAACUCUGACCCAGCGACGCCGCGUGAGGGAUGAAGGCCUUCGGGUUGUAAACCUCUUUCAGUAGGGAAGAAGCGAAAGUGACGGUACCUACAGAAGAAGCACCGGCUAACUAUGUGCCAGCAGCCGCGGUAAUACAUAGGGUGCAAGCGUUGUCCGGAAUUAUUGGGCGUAAAGAGCUCGU
RNAcentral lists this ribosomal RNA (479 nucleotides) under uncultured Actinomycetes bacterium. RNAcentral's name for it is "bacterial SSU rRNA". It matches the Rfam family "Bacterial small subunit ribosomal RNA", at positions 77 to 572 of the family's 1533-position model. Lineage: Bacteria; Bacillati; Actinomycetota; Actinomycetes. The record is from RNAcentral.